This 1978-nucleotide unclassified non-coding RNA is filed under the name Homalodisca vitripennis (glassy-winged sharpshooter). Its description in RNAcentral is "nose resistant to fluoxetine protein 6-like, transcript variant X3". The record is from RNAcentral. Lineage: Eukaryota; Metazoa; Arthropoda; Insecta; Hemiptera; Cicadellidae.
UUGUUAAUGUACUAACGGUUAAAAUUGAACAAAAGAAAUAUUGGUACACAUACAAAAUAUAUGUUAGAUGUUGAAAUGAAUCACACACAUAAUGAGAGAAAUCUGGUAAACGUGUGUUGGGUUGAUAUCAUAAACAAUUCUUACUGUGUGUAUGUAGAGGUUGAUAAUAUCUUUGAACUACAACAAACCUGGAGAAGAGAAACAGCUUGAAAAACAAUGAGGGCCGACAUCGUUGUUGUUCUCUUGAUGUAUCAUAUGUUGCAGAAAGCUGGUUGCAGAGAAUCAGAUUCUGUCAGUAUACACAAGUUAUCAAGUGAGCUGCCUCUAGCAAACAUGAUGGAGUGGUUUGCUCAUCUCUACAUUCCUGUUCAUGCUGUGUCUGAGGAGUGUCGUGCUCACAGUAACCACCUGUUGCUCAGUGUCUUGCGAGGCGAGAUCUGGGCUCUUCAGAUAUUGGAUUCAUGCACCAAGUUACCCCCUGGUUUGACAGGAAGUCAUUUCAUGGACUUCGGCCACUACUCUCGGUGUGUCUCAGUAUAUGAGCCCGAUCAGUUGUUCAAGGGCCAACACAUUCUGGUGGAGACAAGGGGCAUUUUUCUUCCAGAAAUAUAUUCCUACUUUGGCCGGGAGGUAGGUGAUGGCAGUCAGGCAUCCGGUGAGAUUACAUUCUCUAUAUGUGUUCCUUCGUCAUGCUCUGUUGAAGAUGUUGAAACACAUUUGAAAUAUCACUUAGCCUCAAUCAAUGUAUUCUCUGGUGAUCUUGAUUUGAAAUGUUCUACUGCAGAGCCUCUGCUUUUUGAAAUAAAACUCUUUACAGCAAUGGCUCUGCUCAUGAUCGUUGUUGGACUUGUUAUUUGGAGUACUUCUUAUGAAUAUUUUAGAAUAUGUUCUAAACCAAAAUCAGAAAUGCUGAAAGCAUUUUCAGUGAUGGACAACUGGAAAUAUCUGACUGAAACGAAGACGCUGAGUGAAGGCGUUGAGGUAACCUGUGUCAGUGGAAUACGUGUGUUGUCUGUGGCAGUUACUGUACUAGCUCACCGCCUGAAACUAUCUACAGAGACUUCUAGCUUCAGUAUACAGGUUCCAAACAACGUUAGCAUGUUCUCUGAGUUUGAAAAUGGUUUUCUUGGUGCUGAAAUCUUCUUCUUGAUUGGUGGUGUAGUCAGAUCCUACAAUUUCUUCCGUGAUAGGCACAGAGGAAGACCUUUCAGUAUUGUCUCAUCAAUACUUAUACGAUAUCUCAGGUACACACCAGCACUGGCAGGAGUAAUGUUGUUCAACUAUGGACUCCUGGUUGUGUGUGGCCAAGGCCCGCUGUGGCAGAGGUUCACCAGUCAUCCCGUUGGUGCUUGCUGCCAGUUCUGGUGGACAGGAUUGCUUCACAUCGCAAACUAUGUCAAUCCUACAGCUAUGUGUGUACACCACAGUUGGUAUCUUGCCUCUGACUUCCAGCUUUUUCUGGCUUCUCCUCUUUUUCUCAUCCCCCUUUACUUCCGGCCUCAGUUGGGUCUGAUGAUGCUAGCUGUUACCAGCAUUGCUUCAGUAGUCGCCCUUUUCUUUCAUUCACAUUCCAGUGCAAUCUAUAGUGAAAAGAUGACAGGCUUAUCCAGCCACAGAGGAAACAACCUGAUAAGUGGAAAUAAUAUUACUUCUCAUUCCCGAGCAUCGCCAUAUCUACUGGGACUUGCAUUGGGCUACAUAUUGUUCAUGGUGCAUAAUAACCGGCUACAUCUCAGGUUAUCAAAGCCUAUGAUCCCGAGCUCACCCACUGGCUCUAUCCAGUCUGGAACGUUUUCAGCAGAUUUGUAGUUGCUUCCACAGCUGCUUGGGUGAUUCUGGUCUGUUCUCUUGGGCAUGGAGAAUGGUUAAAUCAACUUCUUUCAUGGAGGGGGUUCCAAAUGCUUUCCAAACUUGUGUUGGGGGUUUACCUUGUCCAUUUCAAUGUCAUCAUUGUACAACUGUUCCAAAUGAAUCAGCC